CCCUUAGAUGUUCUGGGCCGCACACGUGCUACACUGAGUGGAUCAGCGGGUCAGGUUGCGCGAAAGUGUUUCCUAAUCUUGAAAUCCGCUCGUGAUGGGGAUUGACGGUUGCAAUUUUCCGUCAUGAACGAGGAAUACCUUGUAAGCGCGGGUCAUCAUCCCGCGCUGAAUACGUCCCUGCCCUUUGUACACACCGCCCGUCGCUCCUACCGAUUGAGUGGUCCGGUGAGGCUUUGGGAUCUGAGCGGAAAGAGCGUUUCGCUGUUUCUGCUCGGAAAACUCAGUCGAACCUUAUCAUUUAGAGGAAGGAGAAGUCGUAACA
RNAcentral lists this ribosomal RNA (322 nucleotides) under uncultured eukaryote. RNAcentral describes it as "partial 18S ribosomal RNA". It matches the Rfam family "Eukaryotic small subunit ribosomal RNA", at positions 1470 to 1796 of the family's 1831-position model. The record is from RNAcentral.